AAUAUUGCACAAUGGGGGAAACCCUGAUGCAGCGACGCCGCGUGAGUGAAGAAGUAUCUCGGUAUGUAAAGCUCUAUCAGCAGCGAAGAAAAUGACGUUACCUGACUAAUAAUCCCCGGCUACCUACGUUCCAGCAGCCGCGGUAAUACGUAGGGGGCAAGCGUUAUCCGGAUUUACUGGGUGUAAAGGGUGCGUAGACGGUUGUGUAAGUCUGAAGUGAAAGGCGGGGGCUCAAAUCCCGGAAUGCAUUGGAAACUAUAUAACUAGAGUGCAGGAGGGGUAAGCGGAAUUCCUGGUGUAGCGGUGAAAUGCUUAGAUAUCAGGAGGAACAACGGCGGCGAAGGCGGCUUACUGGACUGUAACUGACGUUGAGGCACGAAAGCGUGGGGAGCAAACAGG
This 399-nucleotide ribosomal RNA is filed under the name uncultured bacterium. Its description in RNAcentral is "partial 16S ribosomal RNA". It matches the Rfam family "Bacterial small subunit ribosomal RNA", at positions 360 to 776 of the family's 1533-position model. The record is from RNAcentral.